GGUUCGAUGGUGUAGUUGGUUAUCACUUCUGUCUAACAGAACUGUCAAAUUUACAGUAAUCUGUCGCACAGGCGGUCCUCAGUUCGAACCUGGGUCGAAUCA
Non-coding RNA from Mycena metata, 102 nucleotides. The record is from the annotation of a GenBank genome assembly. NCBI's taxonomy places the organism in Eukaryota, Fungi, Basidiomycota, Agaricomycetes, Agaricales, Mycenaceae.